RNAcentral lists this long non-coding RNA (443 nucleotides) under Gossypium barbadense (sea-island cotton). Its description in RNAcentral is "long non-coding RNA (GBAR_LNC023388)". The record is from RNAcentral. Lineage: Eukaryota; Viridiplantae; Streptophyta; Magnoliopsida; Malvales; Malvaceae.
GGGCAUAUUGAUUCAUUCUUAAGUUCAAUUCACAUCAAAACAUUGAAAACAUUAAUCAAAUAUCAAACACACAUUCACAUUAACUAUAUGGAAUACAUAUAGUAACUUAACAAGCCAUUUUCGCAUGGCUAUACAUAUAUACAUCAUCAAAACGAUACUUAUUUAACAACAAAAAGACAAGCCUAUACAUGCCAUUAUCGAAGUUUAACUACUAGUGUACUGAAUGGGCUUAGAUAGUGUGGACGACUUCGACUUUGGGAUCCCCGAGACCGUAGCUAACGAACAAGAUCUAUAAAACAGAGGAUUAAAGCAACAUAGUAAGCAUUUCUAUGCAUAGUAAGUUUUAAGUAAUGAAAUCAUUAAAAAUUGAGGCAUAGCAUUCAUAAUGCUUAUCAUUUUUUCUUUGACCUAACAUAAACAUGUCUAAAUAUACUACUAUUGUU